This 330-nucleotide ribosomal RNA is filed under the name uncultured bacterium. RNAcentral's name for it is "bacterial SSU rRNA". It matches the Rfam family "Bacterial small subunit ribosomal RNA", at positions 568 to 898 of the family's 1533-position model. The record is from RNAcentral.
CGUGUAGGUGGUUCGUUAAGUCGCCGGUGAAAGCCCCUGGCUCAACUGGGGGAGGUCUGGCGAAACUGGCGGACUCGAGGGUCCGAGAGGAAGGUGGAAUUCCCGGUGUAGCGGUGGAAUGCGUAGAGAUCGGGAGGAACACCAGUGGCGAAGGCGGCCUUCUGGCGGGCAUCUGACACUGAGACGCGAAAGCGUGGGUAGCAAACGGGAUUAGAUACCCCGGUAGUCCACGCCCUAAACGAUGCAGGCUAGGUGUUGGUGGGAUUUCCCAUCCGUGCCGUAGCGAACGCGUUAAGCCUGCCGCCUGGGGACUACGAGCGCAAGCUUAAA